GCUCAUCGAGCAGGUUGGUCCUGGGAGUUCAUUAGCCUCUGGGCCAUCGAGGAGGUGGGGCUGCCCAGGAAUGAUCUCCCGGGAGCUUUUCAGGUGGUUCCAAGCACUCUCCUAGGAGGGUAGUCUGGUUGUGGUCUCAUUUGAUCCUCCCACAGCUCUGGCCUGUAGAAAGUUGCAUGUAUUUAUUGCUUAAUGAAUAAAAUAACGAAGUUGUGAAGUGAUGGUUGCCCCGGAGUCAGCCACAGGAGAGCACCCAGCCGGGGUCGAGAGAGGACCAGACAGGAGCAAGGGAGACUGUUUGCCAGGAAGCUGUUACCUGCCAAAAGACCGUAGAUGCCAGUGUCUGGUUGGGCAAAAGGAGACCGAC
Long non-coding RNA from Myotis davidii, 367 nucleotides. RefSeq lists it as uncharacterized. The transcript is spliced from 3 exons. Lineage: Eukaryota; Metazoa; Chordata; Mammalia; Chiroptera; Vespertilionidae. The record is from RefSeq and is a predicted model, not a curated record.